AAAAAAAAAUCAACUAUGCACAACCCUAAUUAAGUUUGCAGAUUGAUGUUUAUUCAACCCUAUAUUUACUUAAUUUUUUUAUUGGAUUUUAAUUUAUAGUAAUAUGAACUAUACAUUCAAUUAUAAAUUCCGGUAAUAUGUGCAGAUGGACGGAUACCGCAUAGAGAUGAGUAUUCACCAAGUUUGAGUUUUUAUCUUUUAAUCAAGCUUGGAGGAAGUGUAAUGCUAUCUCUCAUGUUUUAGCUAAAUUGGGCCUAAGUUUUUUUUCCAAGACCAAGUUUGAAUUGAAGAGUAUCUUCCAGUGUUUGACCCCUAUGUAAUUGAGGAGUAUCAUCAUGUUUCUUUCCCUAUUCAAUGAUAAUUUUCGAGGAAUUUAAAAAACAAAAUUAUAAUAUUUAAAUAUUAAAUAACACAUGAUAUAGAGGUUACCCAAUGGUAAGAGAAUGUUUUAACCUUCUCCUUCACUUUUUGAAAUCUAUAGAGAAGAAGAAAGCUUGUGAUGGAGAGAUGAGUCAAUCUUAUUCAUCAUAAAUAGAGGUUAUUUCGAGUAUUCUAUCUUUGCAUCUUUGAAAAAAGUGUGCUAUUUGCAUAGUCAACUGUGCUUUUAAUAAGGUUAAUAGACGGUUUUCAAACUUUAGAGAGAUUUAUUCUAAAAGUAUUUUUAAUGAUUAAUGGAUUGUUUUGAUUCAUUCAUUAUUGUCUAAUUCAUUCAUUUUG
RNAcentral lists this long non-coding RNA (717 nucleotides) under Cicer arietinum (chickpea). Its description in RNAcentral is "long non-coding RNA (CARI_LNC000528)". The record is from RNAcentral. Lineage: Eukaryota; Viridiplantae; Streptophyta; Magnoliopsida; Fabales; Fabaceae.